UUUUUGUGGUUAACAGAGGCAGUUGCUUAUCCUGUUUUCUAUUUAACUUGUCGUCUUGGAAUCCAUUAAAAGAACACAGAUGACUGACAGAUGCUGAUACCAGAAGACUUCCUGCAUAUUCACUGGGUGAGUUCCUCCCCUUCCUGCUGGAGGAAGCAUCAAAGACAACACCCCAGAAGAUCUUUCUGCUCCAUAUUUGUUUCAAUAAAACUUUAUUCCUAUUA
This is a long non-coding RNA of Bombina bombina (fire-bellied toad), 224 nucleotides long. RefSeq lists it as uncharacterized. Lineage: Eukaryota; Metazoa; Chordata; Amphibia; Anura; Bombinatoridae. The transcript is spliced from 3 exons. The record is from RefSeq and is a predicted model, not a curated record.